Molecule: ribosomal RNA, 498 nt
Filed under: uncultured bacterium
Lineage: Bacteria
Description: bacterial SSU rRNA
Rfam family: Bacterial small subunit ribosomal RNA
Source: RNAcentral
UGGCGGCGUGCCUAAUACAUGCAAGUCGAGCGUAAGGCUUUACACAGUUUGCUUAAAUGGUCUUUGACCACUCUUUAUCUGGCUAGAUAAAUGAGUUUGAGCGAAGUGUGUAGAGUACACGAGCGGCGGACGGCUGAGUAAUGCAUUGGAACGUACCCCAAACUGAGGGAUAAUUCACCGAAAGGUGGACUAAUACCGCAUGUGCCAUUCGUGGUAAAGCUACGGCGGUUUGGGAGCGGCCAAUGUUCGAUUAGCUAGUUGGUGAGGUAAUAGCUCACCAAGGCUACGAUCGAUAGCGGGUCUGAGAGGAUGAUCCGCCAGACUGGAACUGAGACACGGUCCAGACUCCUACGGGAGGCAGCAGUAGGGAAUUUCCACAAUGGGGGCAACCCUGAUGGAGCAACGCCGCGUGCAGGAUGAAGGCCCUCGGGUCGUAAACUGCUUUUCUCUGUGAUGAUUAUGACAGUAGCAGAGGAAUAAGGAUCGGCUAACUCCGUG